UGCUCUCUUGAUUAGUGGCGCACGGGUGAGUAUACCAUAGAUAAUGUACCCCUUAGUUCGGGAUAGCCACUGGAAACGGUGAUUAAUACCGGAUACUCCUUCUCAUUAUAAGAUGAGUCGGGAAAGUUUUUUCGCUAAGGGAUCAGUCUAUGUCCUAUCAGCUAGUUGGUGAGGUAAUGGCUCACCAAGGCUAUGACGGGUAUCUGGUUUGAGAGGAUGAUCAGACACACUGGAACUGAGACACGGUCCAGACUCCUACGGGAGGCAGCAGUGAGGAAUAUUGCACAAUGGAGGAAACUCUGAUGCAGCAACGCCGCGUGGAGGAUGACGCAUUUCGGUGUGUAAACUCCUUUUAUUAGGGAAGAUAAUGACGGUACCUAAUGAAUAAGCACCGGCUAACUCCGUGCCAGCAGCCGCGGUAAUACGGAGGGUGCAAGCGUUACUCGGAAUCACUGGGCGUAAAGGGUGCGUAGGCUGGCUUUUAAGUCAGAUGUGAAAUCCAAUGGCUCAACCAUUGAACUGCAUUUGAAACUGGGAGCCUAGAGUUCAGAAGGGGCAGAUGGAAUUAGUGGUGUAGGGGUAAAAUCCGUAGAUAUCACUAGGAAUAUCAAAAGCGAAGGCGAUCUGCUGGGAUGAUACUGACGCUGAGGCACGAAAGC
This 659-nucleotide ribosomal RNA is filed under the name uncultured bacterium. RNAcentral's name for it is "bacterial SSU rRNA". It matches the Rfam family "Bacterial small subunit ribosomal RNA", at positions 81 to 760 of the family's 1533-position model. The record is from RNAcentral.